Molecule: ribosomal RNA, 468 nt
Filed under: uncultured bacterium
Lineage: Bacteria
Description: partial 16S ribosomal RNA
Rfam family: Bacterial small subunit ribosomal RNA
Source: RNAcentral
GAUGAACGCUGGCGGCGUGCUUAACACAUGCAAGUCGAACGGUGAAGGCGGAGCUUGCUCUGCUGGAUCAGUGGCGAACGGGUGAGUAACACGUGAGCAAUCUGCCCCUGACUCUGGGAUAAGCGCUGGAAACGGCGUCUAAUACUGGAUACGAGCUGUGAAGGCAUCUUCAGCAGCUGGAAAGAAUUUCGGUCAGGGAUGAGCUCGCGGCCUAUCAGCUUGUUGGUGAGGUAAUGGCUCACCAAGGCGUCGACGGGUAGCCGGCCUGAGAGGGUGACCGGCCACACUGGGACUGAGACACGGCCCAGACUCCUACGGGAGGCAGCAGUGGGGAAUAUUGCACAAUGGGCGAAAGCCUGAUGCAGCAACGCCGCGUGAGGGACGACGGCCCUCGGGUUGUAAACCUCUUUUAGCAGGGAAGAAGCGAAAGUGACGGUACCUGCAGAAAAAGCGCCGGCUAACUACGUG